AAGUCGUAACAAGGUUUCCGUAGGUGAACCUGCGGAAGGAUCAUUACCUAGAGUAUGCGGGCUUUGCCUGCCAUCUCUUACCCAUGUCUUUUGAGUACCUUCGUUUCCUCGGCGGGUCCGCCCGCCGACUGGACAAUUUAAACCAUUUGCAGUUGCAAUCAGCGUCUGAAAAAACUUAAUAGUUACAACUUUCAACAACGGAUCUCUUGGUUCUG
RNAcentral lists this unclassified non-coding RNA (215 nucleotides) under Didymella sp. RNAcentral's name for it is "partial internal transcribed spacer region". The stretch from base 1 to 46 matches the Rfam family "Eukaryotic small subunit ribosomal RNA", at positions 1786 to 1831 of the family's 1831-position model. Lineage: Eukaryota; Fungi; Ascomycota; Dothideomycetes; Pleosporales; Didymellaceae. The record is from RNAcentral.